This is a long non-coding RNA of Lagenorhynchus albirostris (white-beaked dolphin), 627 nucleotides long. RefSeq lists it as uncharacterized. The transcript has 3 exons. The record is from RefSeq and is a predicted model, not a curated record. Lineage: Eukaryota; Metazoa; Chordata; Mammalia; Artiodactyla; Delphinidae.
GUCUCCUGGUGAAGUCACUCAUUAGAGAACGGACGGGCCACGACUUGUGCCGCAAGUGGUGGCCUGCAGAGCCACCCAGUGGGCAUCCAGACUUCUACUCUAAUAAGGCCCCUUUGUGCUGAGGGUCAGGAGGUAUUCCUCGAACAUUCCAAGUGGUUGGCAAAUCUCCAUCCUUUGAAGUCUCCUGGAAAUGAUAAAGAACGUGCAUAUUCAGACAUGAACUCCAGCGAACGGCACCAGGGCAGAAGUUCUCCUUACCACUCAGCGGGCAGUGACCGCAGACCUGGAGGAUGGGGAGACUGUUCCAGAGGAACGAGCUCACCUCUCAUGCUGCACAAGGGCCACCUGUCAUCUCAAUGACUGAAAAGCACCAGAAGCACAGAAAGCUUUCAUGUGACCCGCCGAGUAGCUCCUGGGAAGGUGUUCCCUCGCCAGGUUCUUGCACAGGAACCGGGCAGGGCCGUCGCGUCACGUGUGUUCCCUGGGCCCCACCUUACCUCCAGCUGCUCCACCAGCUGCAUCUCCAGCGUCAUGAGCACGUUGACCAGCUCGGUGAUGUUCUCGCUGUGCUCCGCCAUCUUUAUCUCGAAGUUGGUCAGUUCAGACUCGUCUCGGAUGGAGCUUAAA